Long non-coding RNA from Macaca mulatta (Rhesus monkey), 3261 nucleotides. Lineage: Eukaryota; Metazoa; Chordata; Mammalia; Primates; Cercopithecidae. The record is from Ensembl.
GGAUGUCCUGGGCGCCAGGGGCUCUGUGGGGAAGGAGGGCCAGUCGGCCCAGGUGGCUCAUGGUGGGUCACUGGGGAGGGUGUGACAGAGCUGUCCUGUGGCCGUGCCGGGAAAGAAGGAGACCAUGUGGAUUCAUGGUGGGGAAAGGGGGCUGGAGGCAGGAGCACCCAGGCCUUGGGUGGUCAACCAAGGUGCAGACAGGAGGGUCCUGGCUGAAGCUGAGGGCACUGCUUCUGGCUUUCAUGGAACCUUCUGGGACUAUACUGAGCCCCCUCCUGGCCCCAGGGACCUUUAAUGAAUUUGCCUGCUCCAAGAUGACCUGUGCGAGGGGACUGCAGCCUCUUUAGGGUGACAAGUCCCAGCCGCCCCUGUGGGGUUUCAUAGGAGGAACUGAUGGCUGCCCUGACGGUCACUACGCAGUCGCCGGCACCUUGUCCACCCCACUGGGCUGGGGCUCCUCCACCUUGAAGCCCCGCGUGUCUGUGGACGAGACCCGCUUCUUGGCUCCUUUCCGCCCAGUCCUUCCCUGACACUUGGGACGGAGGUGCAAAGAGAGACCCCACAACUGAAUGAAUGCUUUGAAGGUGCCAGGCCCGCCAGGAGCGCACAGGAGAGCAACUCACAACAGAAGGAGAGACGGCUCGCAUCUUGGAGGCAUCGCCCUUCUGGUGCAUCAGCAGGGGCUGCAGGCUCCAACAGGCAGCCUGGUGGGCGGUGUGCCUUGGGAGAGGGAGCCAGCCCUCCAGGGCCUGCUUCAGACACCCACUGCUGGCGGCUGCCAUGGGAAGCCCUGUUUGUUCUGUGUUCAGGUCAUCUCUGUGGAGCCCUUGGGGUGCUGGGGAAAGAGAGUGGAUGAGGGAGCUCAGUCUCCAGUCCCCCCAGCUUUCCCACCCACCCUCAGGCCUGGGUUCAGGUUUGAGUGGGGUGGUCCUGGCCAGGCUAUGAACUACCUGAGGUGGGGACCAACGCCCACCCUGGUGAUACCCCUGAAGGCAGGGCACCUGUUACCUUGUGGGGACUCGCCUCCAAUUUCCUCUCUUUGUCCCUGCCCUGGCACAGCCUGGUACAUGUCGGCGAGUCAGCUUAGAUUUCCUCGUGGAUGUUUGGAGGGACGCCUGGCUCCUUGCAGGGGCUGAGGCUCCUAGAGACGCUUCAAGCCCAAAGAGUCCACCUGUCCCAUCAGGUGUGAGCCAGGUCUGCUAGACUCCAAACCAUCACCCCCUGCCUGUGGCCUGGCCUGCCCAUUUGAGGUUAGUGGAAGCUGGGACAGUCACCUUUGAUUCCGGAGAAAUAUGGGAGGAAGUUAAACGGUGACCUCCCUUGGAGAGGAAUAAGAGCCCCCUCUUUGGCAAAAGCUGUGGGGAUCUUUCGCUCAUUUUCUAAAACACAGUUUUAUUGAGAUUUGAUUCAUAUGGCCUAAACUGUGUCCUUCCAAAACUCAUGUUGAGGCCCUCAUCCCCAGUCCCUCAGGACGUGACUGUAUUUGGAAAUAGGACUUUAGAGAGGUGAUUAAGUUAAAAUGUGGCCAUGAGGGUGGGCUCCAAUCUAGUAAGAUUUGUUUGUGGUUUUUUUUUUUUUUUUUUUUUUGAGACAGUCUCACUCUGUCGCCCAGGCUGGAGUGCAGGGGCCCCGUCUUGGCUCACUGCAACCUCCGCCUCCUGGGUUCAAGCAAUUCUCUGCCUCAGCCUCCCAAGUAGCUGGGGUUACAGGCACCCGCCACCAUGCCCGGCUAACUUUUUGUAUUUUUAGUAGAGACGGGGUUUCACCAUCGUGGCCAGGAUGGUCUUGAACUCCUGACCUCGUGAUCCACCCGCCUCGGCCUUCCAAAGUGCUGGGAUUACAGGCGUGAGCCACCGCGCCCGGCCUCCAAUCUAGUAAGAUUGAUGUUCUCCUGAGAGAAGGAGAUUUGGACUCACAGAGAAACCGCAGAGAUGCCCACAGGCAGAGGAAGGACCAUGUGGCACCAGGCACCAGGAGAAGGUGGCCGUCUGCAACUCAAGGCCAGAGGCCUCAGAAGAAAUCGACCCUGUGGUCUGGGCACAGUGGCUCAUGCCCAUAAUCCCAGUAAUUUGGGAGGCUGAGGCGGGAGGAUAGCUUGAGCCCAGGAGUUCAAGACCAGCCUGGGCAAUAUGGCAAAACCCCAUCUCUACAGAAAGUACAAAAAUUAGCCAGCUGUGGUGGCACACACCUGUAGUCCCAGCUACUCGGGGGCUGAGGUGGGAGAAUCGCUUGAGCCUGGGAGGAAGAGGCUGCAGUGAGCCAUGAUUGCACCACUGCCAGUGAGACAGAGUGAGACCCCGUCUCAAAAAAACAAAAGAAGAAACCAACCCUGCUGACACCUUCUCUUAGACUUCCAGCCUCCGGAACUGUGAGGAAAUACAUUUCUGUUGUUGAAGGCACCCUGCCUGUUGUAUUCUGUUAUAGUAGCCCUGGCAAAUGAAUCCACCAUGUGACUCACCCAUUGUGGUUUUGGCAGGUGGUUUUUGGCAUAUUCACAGAUAUCUGCAAUCAUCACUUAAGUCAACUUUGGAGCAUUUCAUCACCUUGGAAAAAACUCAAGCCCUUGUGCCCUUUAGCUAUCAUCUCAGCUACGGUUUGAAUGUGACCCCGAAGGCAUGUGUUGGACACGUAAUCCCCUAAUGCUUGUUUUAAGUAAGUGCUGUGAGUCAUUUCAAGGGAAAAGUGACAGCAGCAGCAGCAAGACCUUAAUGUUACUCAGCAACUGCAGAGAUGGGCAGGCGGGGUGGCAGGGGUGGCGGUUCUGGGACAGUUUCUAAAAGCAGAGUCCUGGGAACUUUUUUUUUUUUGUAUUUUUAUGAAGACGGUUUCACCAUGUUGGCCAGGCUGGUCUCGAACUCCUGACCUCAAGUAAUCUGCCUGCCUUGGCCUCCCAAAGUACUGAGAUUACAGGCGUGAGUCACCAUGCCUUGGAGUCCUGGGAACUCCUGAGUCAGUCUCAAAGGAAAAUGGGCAAGGCCAGAGUUGGCUUGGAGGAGAAUGUAGGGUCGAGGGUAGACAGGGACAGCUGGCCCCCCCUCCCGUCUCCUGCUGGACAUUCCAAAUACAGAAACGCUUAAAUGCUCCAUCCUCCAGCUCUUACCCACAGAGCUUGAAAGACCACCAAUUAGUGGUCCACCCUUGCUAAAGGGUAAUUUUUAAAUUUUAUUUUAAAAGUUUUUUUUUUUUUUUUUGCUGGGUGUGGUUGCUCACGCCUGUAAUCCCAAAACUUUGGGAGGCUGAGGUGGGCAGAUCAUGAGAUCA